Molecule: small nuclear RNA, 135 nt
Filed under: Crocodylus porosus (Australian saltwater crocodile)
Lineage: Eukaryota; Metazoa; Chordata; Crocodylia; Crocodylidae
Description: U2 spliceosomal RNA (ENSCPRG00005000729.1)
Rfam family: U2 spliceosomal RNA
About the family: U2 is a small nuclear RNA (snRNA) component of the spliceosome (involved in pre-mRNA splicing). Complementary binding between U2 snRNA (in an area lying towards the 5' end but 3' to hairpin I) and the branchpoint sequence (BPS) of the intron results the bulging out of an unpaired adenosine, on the BPS, which initiates a nucleophilic attack at the intronic 5' splice site, thus starting the first of two transesterification reactions that mediate splicing.
Source: RNAcentral
UAUUGGUCCUCUGAUAUGUCCUCCACAGGAGGUCUAUAUUGAGCAGAUUCUUUUUGGUGUUGGGUGGUGGAACCGGAGCUUGCUCCAUCCACUCCAUGCAUUGACCUGGUAUUCAAGUGUUUCCAGGACCGGUGC